CCUGGCUCCCGUUUAGGCUAGCUACAGGCUUAACACAUGCAAGUCGAGGCCUUCAUGGUCUUAGCUUGCUAAGACUGAUGGCGACCGGCGCACGGGUGAGUAACACGUAUCCAACCUGCCGUCUACUCUUGGACAGCCUUCUGAAAGGAAGAUUAAUACAAGAUGGCAUCAUGAGUCCGCAUGUUCACAUGAUUAAAGGUAUUCCGGUAGACGAUGGGGAUGCGUUCCAUUAGAUAGUAGGCGGGGUAACGGCCCACCUAGUCUUCGAUGGAUAGGGGUUCUGAGAGGAAGGUCCCCCACAUUGGAACUGAGACACGGUCCAAACUCCUACGGGAGGCAGCAGUGAGGAAUAUUGGUCAAUGGGCGAGAGCCUGAACCAGCCAAGUAGCGUGAAGGAUGACUGCCCUAUGGGUUGUAAACUUCUUUUAUAAAGGAAUAAAGUCGGGUAUGCAUACCCGUUUGCAUGUACUUUAUGAAUAAGGAUCGGCUAACUCCGUGCCAGCAGCCGCGGUAAUACGGAGGAUCCGAGCGUUAUCCGGAUUUAUUGGGUUUAAAGGGAGCGUAGAUGGAUGUUUAAGUCAGUUGUGAAAGUUUGCGGCUCAACCGUAAAAUUGCAGUUGAUACUGGAUAUCUUGAGUGCAGUUGAGGCAGGCGGAAUUCGUGGUGUAGCGGUGAAAUGCUUAGAUAUCACGAAGAACUCCGAUUGCGAAGGCAGCCUGCUAAGCUGCAACUGACAUUGAGGCUCGAAAGUGUGGGUAUCAAACAGGAUUAGAUACCCUGGUAGUCCACACGGUAAACGAUGAAUACUCGCUGUUUGCGAUAUACUGCAAGCGGCCAAGCGAAAGCGUUAAGUAUUCCACCUGGGGAGUACGCCGGCAACGGUGAAACUCAAAGGAAUUGACGGGGGCCCGCACAAGCGGAGGAACAUGUGGUUUAAUUCGAUGAUACGCGAGGAACCUUACCCGGGCUUAAAUUGCAGAUGAAUUACGGUGAAAGCCGUAAGCCGCAAGGCAUCUGUGAAGGUGCUGCAUGGUUGUCGUCAGCUCGUGCCGUGAGGUGUCGGCUUAAGUGCCAUAACGAGCGCAACCCUUGUUGUCAGUUACUAACAGGUUCCGCUGAGGACUCUGACAAGACUGCCAUCGUAAGAUGUGAGGAAGGUGGGGAUGACGUCAAAUCAGCACGGCCCUUACGUCCGGGGCUACACACGUGUUACAAUGGGGGGUACAGAGGGCCGCUACCACGCGAGUGGAUGCCAAUCCCCAAAACCUCUCUCAGUUCGGACUGGAGUCUGCAACCCGACUCCACGAAGCUGGAUUCGCUAGUAAUCGCGCAUCAGCCACGGCGCGGUGAAUACGUUCCCGGGCCUUGUACACACCGCCCG
RNAcentral lists this ribosomal RNA (1381 nucleotides) under uncultured bacterium. Its description in RNAcentral is "bacterial SSU rRNA". It matches the Rfam family "Bacterial small subunit ribosomal RNA", at positions 18 to 1396 of the family's 1533-position model. The record is from RNAcentral.